GCGCAGUCCCCCUUGAACGCACCUCAGGAUGGCCCGUACUUUGGAACCACUAGCAAAGAAGAUCUUUAAAGGAGUUUUGGUAGCCGAACUUGUAGGCGUUUUUGGAGCAUAUUUUUUGUUUAGCAAGAUGCACACAAGCCAAGAUUUCAGGCAAACAAUGAGCAAGAAAUAUCCCUUCAUCUUGGAAGGUAUGUUUUUCCUUAAGUAAAAAUAAGUAUAAAACAACUUCUUCAGGUAACCUAUAAAUUAAGUAGUAAUUUCUUUACAAGGAAUUUCUAACAAUACUAUUCACAUCUAUUUUAGUUCUUCUGAGACUAAAUUCUCAUCUAUUCUAGUGAGAGGAGAAUUAGGUAAUGGGCUGGAUUCUGAAUUCUUCUAGUGGUUAAGAAUGUAAACUGUGCAAUCAUUCAUGUAUGAGGUGAUAGAAUCAAACCACAGUUUAAACUUUUGGUUUUAAAAGAUCAGUUUCAUCUCAGGUUUGCUAACUUCUUGGAGCUGUCUCUUUCUCUGUCAAGUAGAUAAAGACUGAACAAGAUGACAUCAUGUAGUUAGACGAAAUAGUGCUCAUUACAAUGAUUAGAGACGCCAGGACUUAUAUGUGAAGUCUGUAAUCCUACUGUCCUCUUUUUCAUUUUGUUAUGUAGCAAUAUGGAAAAAAGAAGUUGUUUUUUUCAAUACAUUUAAUUUUAACAAUGUUUCCACAUGACUUUAUAAAUGAGAGCUAUUUUUAUUUAUAGUUUAUUACAAAUCCACUGAGAAGUCUGGAAUGUAUGGAAUCAGAGAGCUAGACCAAAAAACAU
This 800-nucleotide small RNA is filed under the name Pongo abelii (Sumatran orangutan). RNAcentral describes it as "retained intron". The record is from RNAcentral. Lineage: Eukaryota; Metazoa; Chordata; Mammalia; Primates; Hominidae.